Molecule: non-coding RNA, 843 nt
Filed under: Carpilius maculatus
Lineage: Eukaryota; Metazoa; Arthropoda; Malacostraca; Decapoda; Carpiliidae
Source: RNAcentral
AAAAAGUUUGAUUCUUUCUUUGUUUUCUAUUAUUUAUCAUUAAAAUUGUAUGAGAUUAAUUAAGAGUAUAAAUGUUGACUAAAUUGUUAUAAACAAUUUAUAAUAGUAAAUUAGAAUAUUUGUCGACAAGAUUAUAAAUUCUCAGCAUAUAGAAUUAAAUUAAUACAUUAAAGUGUGAUUUAGUAAGUGAUUUAAAACCUGAUUAAAUAUUUGUGCCAGCAGUCGCGGUUAGACUUUAAGGUUGAGUAGAAAGUUUUGGUUAUUAGUUAAAUGAGUAGUUAAGGUUUAUAAUCUAAUAAAAUAAAAGGUGAAAUUAGGUUGUUUUCAAAUAUAGAUGAAUGUCUUAACUUAUAUUGAAGCUAAAAAAUUUUAGAUUUAAACUAGGAUUAGAUACCCUAUUAUACUAAUAAAUAAAUAUAAAUACCGGAUUAUUAAUAGAUAUGUUCUUGAAAUUUAAAGAAUUUGGCGGUGAUUUAGUCUAAUCAGAGGAACCUGUUUUUUAAUCGAUAAACCACGUAAAAUCUUACUUACUUUAUAUAGUUUGUAUACCGUCAUUAACAGAUAAUUUUUAGAGAAAAGAAUUAUUAAUAAAUAUAAUUUGAAUUAAUGAAAUUAGAUCAAGGUGCAGCUUAUAAGUGAGUUAAAAUGGGUUACAAUAAAUUUUAUUUAUAAUGGAUAUUUAAUGGAAGAUGAUUAAUUGGAAGGAGGAUUUGAUUGUAAUAUAAGUUUAAUAUGCUUAAGAGACAUAAGCUCUAAAUCAUGUACAUAUCGCCCGUCGCUUUCAUUAUAUAGAUGAGAUAAGUCGUAACAUAGUAGGUUUAUUGGAAAGUGAACCUAGAUUAA